ACUAUGCCUAGCCCUAUACAUUGAUACUAACCUACUUAUUUUAUCCGCCAGGGUACUACGAGCAUCAGCUUAAAACCCAAAGGACUUGGCGGUGCUUUAGAUCCACCUAGAGGAGCCUGUUCUAGAACCGAUAAUCCCCGUUAAACCUCACCUUUUCUUGCCAUGUCCGCCUAUAUACCGCCGUCGUCAGCUUACUCUGUGAGGAACUUGUCGUAAGCACAACCGGCAAAGCCCAAAACGUCAGGUCGAGGUGUAGCGAAUGGAAAGGGAAGAAAUGGGCUACAUUCAAUAGUUAUAAUGAAUACGAAUGAUGUCUUGAAACAGACAUCUGAAGGAGGAUUUAGCAGUAAGCAGAGAAUAGAGCGCCCUGCUGAAAUUGGCCCUGAAGCGCGUACACACCGCCCGUCACUCUCCCCGAGCUAAUAAAGACAAAUUACUAAUAAACAAAACUGCAAAGGGGAGGCAAGUCGUAACAUGGUAAGCGUACCGGAAGGUGCGCUUGGAAAAACUCAGAGCAUAGCUAAACAACGUAUAGCAUCUCCCUUACACUGAGAAGACAUCCGUGCAAACCGGAUUGCCCUGAGGCCAAAUAGCUAGCCCAACCCCCUUAAACAAAAAAAUCGCCCUAAAUAACCCCUCACGCACUAAAAGCACUAAACAAACCAUUUUCCCAUCUUAGUAUAGGAGAUAGAAAAGAUCCCGGCGCAAUAGAGAAAGUACMGCAAGGGAAAGCUGAAAGAGAAAUGAAAUAACCCAGUUUAAGCCCAAAGAAGCAAAGCUAUC
This 783-nucleotide ribosomal RNA is filed under the name Macropharyngodon cyanoguttatus. RNAcentral's name for it is "partial 12S ribosomal RNA". The stretch from base 1 to 515 matches the Rfam family "Bacterial small subunit ribosomal RNA", at positions 789 to 1533 of the family's 1533-position model. The record is from RNAcentral. Lineage: Eukaryota; Metazoa; Chordata; Actinopteri; Labriformes; Labridae.